RNAcentral lists this ribosomal RNA (512 nucleotides) under Pallidionicus freycinetiae. RNAcentral's name for it is "partial 16S ribosomal RNA". It matches the Rfam family "Archaeal large subunit ribosomal RNA", at positions 1908 to 2669 of the family's 2987-position model. Lineage: Eukaryota; Metazoa; Arthropoda; Insecta; Blattodea; Blattidae. The record is from RNAcentral.
CUCUUCUUGUUUAAUAUUUGAAGUAUAACCUGCCCACUGAUUAUUUUAAAGGGCCGCGGUAUUUUGACCGUGCAAAGGUAGCAUAAUCAUUAGUCUUUUAAUUGGAGGCUGGAAUGAAUGGUUGGACGAGGAAUAUACUGUUUCUUAAUAAAAUGAUUUGAAUUUAAAAUUUAAGUAAAAAUACUUAAAUUUUUUUAUGGGACGAGAAGACCCUAUAGAGUUUAAUAAAUUUUAUUUAUUAUUUUGUUUGAUAAUAUAAAUUAAUUAUAAAAUUUAUUUUGUUGGGGUGAUGAAAAUGAUUUAAUAAACUCUUUUUUUUAUUUAUAUAUUUAUUUAUAAAUAUAUGAUCCAUUUUUUAUGAUUAUAAGACUAAAUUACCUUAGGGAUAACAGCGUAAUCUUUUUUGAGAGUUCUUAUCAAUAAAAGGGUUUGCGACCUCGAUGUUGGAUUAAGAUUUAAUUUGGGUGUAGCAUUUCAAUUGUUUAGGUCUGUUCGACCUUUAAAAUCUUACA